UAAACAGGGAAUGAAGUUCUCCCUUAGCUCAGGCUAAAACUGCUUACGAAAUGAAAGCUGAUGACUUCUGCAU
Molecule: non-coding RNA, 73 nt
Filed under: human gut metagenome
Description: Fluoride riboswitch
Rfam family: Fluoride riboswitch aptamer (crcB RNA motif)
Source: RNAcentral